RNAcentral lists this ribosomal RNA (402 nucleotides) under uncultured bacterium. RNAcentral's name for it is "partial 16S ribosomal RNA". It matches the Rfam family "Archaeal small subunit ribosomal RNA", at positions 473 to 873 of the family's 1478-position model. The record is from RNAcentral.
ACACCGGCAGCUCAAGUGGUAGCCGCUUUUAUUGGGCCUAAAGCGUCCGUAGCCGGUCUGAUAAGUCUCUGGUGAAAUCCCACAGCUUAACUGUGGGAAUUGCUGGAGAUACUAUCAUGACUCGAGGUCGGGAGAGGCUGGAGGUACUGCCAGGGUAGGGGUGAAAUCCUGUAAUCCUGGGAGGACCACCUGUGGCGAAGGCGUCCAGCUGGAACGAACCUGACGGUGAGGGACGAAAGCCAGGGGCGCGAACCGGAUUAGAUACCCGGGUAGUCCUGGCCGUAAACGAUGUGGACUUGGUGUUGGGAUGGCUUCGAGCUGCCCCAGUGCCGAAGGGAAGCUGUUAAGUCCACCGCCUGGGAAGUACGGCCGCAAGGCUGAAACUUAAAGGAAUUGGCGGGG